Molecule: non-coding RNA, 71 nt
Organism: Ameiurus melas (black bullhead)
Lineage: Eukaryota; Metazoa; Chordata; Actinopteri; Siluriformes; Ictaluridae
Source: the annotation of a GenBank genome assembly
GGGAAAGUGGUAGAGGUUAGGACAUUGGACUUCUGAUCAGAAGGUUGUGAGUUCAAAUCCCAGCACUGCCA